AGUGAACGCUGGCGGUAGGCCUAACACAUGCAAGUCGAACGGCAGCACAGUAAGAGCUUGCUCUUACGGGUGGCGAGUGGCGGACGGGUGAGGAAUACAUCGGAAUCUACUUUUUCGUGGGGGAUAACGUAGGGAAACUUACGCUAAUACCGCAUACGACCUACGGGUGAAAGCAGGGGAUCUUCGGACCUUGCGCGAUUGAAUGAGCCGAUGUCGGAUUAGCUAGUUGGCGGGGUAAAGGCCCACCAAGGCGACGAUCCGUAGCUGGUCUGAGAGGAUGAUCAGCCACACCGGGACAGAGACACGGGCCACACUCCGACGGGAGGCAGCAGUGGGGAAUAUUGGACAAAGGGGGCAAGCCUGAUCCAGCCAUACCGCGUGGGGGAAGAAGGCCUUCGGGUUGUAAAACCCUUUUUUUGGGAAAGAAAAACAGCAGGGGAAAACCCCGCUGUUCUGACGGGACCCAAAAAAAAAGCACCGGCUAACUUCGGG
RNAcentral lists this ribosomal RNA (492 nucleotides) under uncultured bacterium. Its description in RNAcentral is "partial 16S ribosomal RNA". It matches the Rfam family "Bacterial small subunit ribosomal RNA", at positions 29 to 507 of the family's 1533-position model. The record is from RNAcentral.